Molecule: ribosomal RNA, 447 nt
Filed under: uncultured bacterium
Lineage: Bacteria
Description: SSU rRNA
Rfam family: Bacterial small subunit ribosomal RNA
Source: RNAcentral
AGAGCGAACGCUGGCGGCAGGCUUAACACAUGCAAGUCGAGCGGGCGUAGCAAUGCGUCAGCGGCAGACGGGUGAGUAACGCGUGGGAACGUACCUUUUGGUUCGGAACAACCCAGGGAAACUUGGGCUAAUACCGGAUAAGCCCUUACGGGGAAAGAUUUAUCGCCGAAAGAUCGGCCCGCGUCUGAUUAGCUAGUUGGUGAGGUAAUGGCUCACCAAGGCGACGAUCAGUAGCUGGUCUGAGAGGAUGAUCAGCCACAUUGGGACUGAGACACGGCCCAAACUCCUACGGGAGGCAGCAGUGGGGAAUAUUGGACAAUGGGCGCAAGCCUGAUCCAGCCAUGCCGCGUGAGUGAUGAAGGCCCUAGGGUUGUAAAGCUCUUUUGUGCGGGAAGAUAAUGACGGUACCGCAAGAAUAAGCCCGGCUAACUUCGCGCCAGCAGCCGC